GAUGAACGCUGGCGGCGUGCCUAAUACAUGCAAGUCGAGCGAACAGAUGAGGAGCUUGCUCCUCUGACGUUAGCGGCGGACGGGUGAGUAACACGUGGAUAACCUACCUAUAAGACUGGGAUAACUUCGGGAAACCGGAGCUAAUACCGGAUAAUAUAUUGAACCGCAUGGUUCAAUAGUGAAAGACGGUUUUGCUGUCUCUUAUAGAUGGAUCCGCGCCGCAUUAGCUAGUUGGUAUGGUAACGGCUUACCAAGGCGACGAUGCGUAGCCGACCUGAGAGGGUGAUCGGCCACACUGGAACUGAGACACGGUCCAGACUCCUACGGGAGGCAGCAGUAGGGAAUCUUCCGCAAUGGGCGAAAGCCUGACGGAGCAACGCCGCGUGAGUGAUGAAGGUCUUCGGAUCGUAAAACUCUGUUAUUAGGGAAGAACAAAUGUGUAAGUAACUAUGCACGUCUUGACGGUACCUAAUCAGAAAGCCACGGCUAACUACGUG
RNAcentral lists this ribosomal RNA (497 nucleotides) under uncultured bacterium. Its description in RNAcentral is "partial 16S ribosomal RNA". It matches the Rfam family "Bacterial small subunit ribosomal RNA", at positions 28 to 507 of the family's 1533-position model. The record is from RNAcentral.